This 378-nucleotide ribosomal RNA is filed under the name uncultured bacterium. RNAcentral's name for it is "bacterial SSU rRNA". It matches the Rfam family "Bacterial small subunit ribosomal RNA", at positions 521 to 896 of the family's 1533-position model. The record is from RNAcentral.
UAAGACGAACCGUCCUAACGUUAUUCGGAAUUACUGGGCUUAAAGCGCGUGUAGGCGGGGAGGCACGUCUGUCGCUUAAAUCCCACGGCUCAACCGUGGAACUGGCGUAGAUACGACCCCCCUGGAGGGGUGUAGGGGGACCUGGAACUUCCGGUGGAGCGGUGAAAUGCGUUGAGAUCGGAAGGAACGCCCGUGGCGAAAGCGAGGUCCUGGACACUUUCUGACGCUGAGACGCGAAAGCCAGGGGAGCAAACGGGAUUAGAUACCCCGGUAGUCCUGGCCGUAAACGAUGAGCACUGGGUAGGGGGCUCGCCGAUGGGCUCCCUGCCGCAGGGAAACCGUGAAGUGCUCCGCCUGGGGAGUAUGGUCGCAAGGCUG